This is a long non-coding RNA of Meriones unguiculatus (Mongolian gerbil), 695 nucleotides long. RefSeq lists it as uncharacterized. The record is from RefSeq and is a predicted model, not a curated record. Lineage: Eukaryota; Metazoa; Chordata; Mammalia; Rodentia; Muridae. The transcript is spliced from 3 exons.
CUGAGAGAAAACUGGUCCACUGAGCCAGUCCUUUCCUAGCUUUAGAAGCCUGCCCACAGCAGACAAGAUGCAGAACUUCAGGCAGCUGCAGGCAGCCAGAGUGUGCCAGGAUCCAAAACCACAUCUAAUUCUAAGCCCUUCAAGCACCAGACAUGAAAGAAGCUCCCUGUGAAGAAUACAUUUAAGCGUACCCAAGUGUGUUGACACAUGCCUGCAAUCCCAACACUCAGAGAUGGAGACAGGAGGACUACACACCUGAGGCUACCAUUGUCUCUGAAAGUCCACGGAGCCCUAUCCUCAUCAGGAACAGCAAGACCAUUGCACAUGGCACCAUUCACCUGGCUCAAGUACCAAAGCUAAAAUAAAAGCAGAAGAUACAUAUGACCACCCAUACAACACACACACACACACCUAUUUCCCUCUGCUGUGUUAGAGCAGGCUAGCAGUUCACAGAAGCAGAGGGAAGAGGUUUACAUGGCUCUUGUGUCAAGUCAGCAGAACUAGUGGAGCUACAUACAGCUCACAGAGAUUUACAAUGAGGUUCCAGUAUUGAUAGAGUAGAAGCCAGAGAACUCAAACCAGACCAACAAGUCACUGCGAUGAACAUUUACAAGCAAAGAAGUGUGGAUAAAGGGUACACUGGAGGGCACAGUGUGAUACACUAAAGCUUCCAAAAUGAGAUUUUUUUUUCUCUG